Molecule: long non-coding RNA, 1996 nt
Filed under: Homo sapiens (human)
Lineage: Eukaryota; Metazoa; Chordata; Mammalia; Primates; Hominidae
Description: HSALNT0288256
Source: RNAcentral
CACAAGGCCCCUUUAGGCAGAGCUUAGACCAGAGUUACAUCACCUGGAUGAUCAUUGCAGAGAUAUGUCACAAUGUCCCCAUAGGCAAAUCCAAGACAAGCGUUCGUCACCUGGGUGAUCAUUGCAGAAAUAUGUGACAAUGCCCUCAGGAGGCGGAGCCUACAGAAGAGUCCAAUCACCUGCGUGAUCAGUGCAGAGAUAUUUCACAAUGCCCCUGCAGGCAGAGUGUAAGCAAGAGUUACAUCACCUAGAUGAUCAGUGCAGAGAUAUGUCACAAGGCCCCCUAUACGCAGAGUCGGACAAGAGUUACAUCACCUCAGUGAUCAAUGCAGUGAUAUGUCACUAUGCCCCGUAGGCAGAGCCUAGUCAAGCGUUACAUCACCUGGGUGAUUACUGCAGAGAUAUGUCACAAAGUCCCCAUACACAGAGCCUAGACAAGAGUCCCAUCACCUGGGUGAUCAGUGCAGAAAUAUGUCACAAUGCCCCUAUAGGCCGAUCGAAGACAAGAGUCCUUCACCUGGGUGAUCAGUGCAGAAAUAUGUCACAAUGCCCCCUUAGGCAGAGCCUAGAUAAAAGCCCCAUCACCUGGAUGAUCAGUGCAGAGUUAUGUCACAAAUUCCCUUUAGGCAGAUCCUAGAGAAAGGUUACAUCACUUGGAUGAUCAGUGCAGAGAUAUGUCACUAUGCUACAGUAGGCAGAGCCUAGACUAGAGUUACAUGACCUCGGUGAUCAGUGCAGAGAUACAUCGCAAUGUCCCUGUAGGCAGAGCCUUGACAAGUGGUACAUCACCUGGGUGAUCAUUGCAGGGAUAUGUCACAAAGCACCCUGUAGGCAGAUCCUAGAAAAGAGUUACAUGACCUAGGUGAUCAGUGCAGAGAUACAUCGCAAUGCCCCUGUAGGCAGAGCCUUGACAAGUGGUAUAUCACCUGGGUGACCAUUGCAUUGAUAUGUCACAAAGCACCCUAUAGGGAGAUCCUAGAGAAGAGUUAUAUCACCUGGGUGGUCAGUGCAGAGUUAUGUCACAAGCCCCUGUAGGCAGAGCCUAGACAAGAGUUAUAACACCUGGGUGAUCAGUGCAGUGAUAUGUCACAAUGCCGUAUAGCCAGAGCCUAGACUAAAGUUACAGCACCUGGGAGAUAAGUGCAGAGAUAUGUCACAAAGUCCCCAGUAGGCAGAGACCAGGUAAGAGUUGGAUCAUCUCGGGAUCAGUGCAGAGAUAUGUCUCAAUCCCCCUGUGGGCACAGCCUAGACAAGAGUUACAUCACCUCGUUUAACAGUGCAGAGAUAUGUCAAAAUGCCCCUGUAGGCAGAGCCUACACAAGUGUUACAUCACUUAGGUGAUCAGUGCAGAUAUAUGUCACAAUACCCCCUGUAAGCAGAGCCUAGACAAGAGUUACAUCACCUGGGUGAUCAGUGCAGAGAUAUGUGACAAGGCCCCUUUAAGCAGAACCUAGACAAUUGUUACAUCACCUGAGUGAUCAGUGCGGAGAACUGUCAAAAUGCCCCUUUAGGCAGAGCUUAGAUCAGAGUUACACCGCCUGGGUGAUCAGUGCAGAGAUAUCUCACAAUACCCACUGUAAGCAGAGCCUAGACAAGAGUUACAUCACCUGGGUGAUCAGUGCAGAGAUAUGUCAUAAAUCCCACUGUAGGCAAAGCCUAGACAAGUUUUACAUCACCUCAGCGAAAAGUGCAGAGAUAUAUCCCAAUGUCCCUCUAGGCAGAGCUUAGCCAAGAGUCACAUCUCCUGGGUGAUCAGUGCAGAGAUAAGUCACACUGCCCCCAUUGGCAGAGCCUAGAGAAGAGUUAUAUGACUGGGGUGAUCCGUGCAGAGUGAUAUCACAACGCCCUCUGUAGCCACAGAGUAGAAAAUAGUUACAUCACCUGGGUGAUCAGUGCAGAGAUAUGUCACAAUGCCCCUGUAGGUAGAGCAUAGAGAACAGUUGCAUCACCUGGGUGAUCAGUGCAGAAAUAUGUGACAAUGCCUCCAGUAGGCAGA